RNAcentral lists this ribosomal RNA (630 nucleotides) under Triticum aestivum (bread wheat). Its description in RNAcentral is "partial small subunit ribosomal RNA". Lineage: Eukaryota; Viridiplantae; Streptophyta; Magnoliopsida; Poales; Poaceae. The record is from RNAcentral.
AUGUCUUCGUCUACCGCACCCAUCCAAUCUAGCCUCAACUACAACACCUUCGAGCCGCUUACCCGGACGAGCUAUGUUCUCUCGAAAGCACAAGCAAUAUCCCAAAUAAUGGGCGCCAUCUUGUAUGGCUACAUCGACCAAACCAUCGAGGAGCCUCCCAAGAGCAUCACCUCCAAAGUUAAAGACAACAAGGAUUAGGUGAUAUCAAACCAUGCGUAUGCCCCCUGGCUUGUUCAGGAUCAACAAAUUGUUGCCUAUCUUUUUCGUAAUCUAUCCAAGGAAGUCAUCGUUCAAGUUGCAUCGCUUGAGACGUCGCAUGCCAUAUGGACAGCCUUGGCCACCAUGUUUUCUGCUGUCUCGCUGUCCAGGGCUAACAAUCUUCGCGCCGCACUCACCAAUGCCCAGAAGGGUUCACUCUCCGCCUCGACGUCCUUCGGGCAUAUGCGCUCCCUCUCCGAUGAGCUCGCGGCGGAGGGAAAACCACUCGGGGAGGGGGAGCCCAUCACCUUCAUCAUCGCCGGCCUUGACAUGGACUACCAACCCAUCAUCUCCGCACUGGACGUCCGCACCGAUCCCAUCACCGCUGACAUCUUCUUCUCCCUUAUGGCCAACUUUGAACAACAGGUGUAG